Molecule: ribosomal RNA, 1346 nt
Filed under: metagenome
Description: bacterial LSU rRNA
Rfam family: Bacterial large subunit ribosomal RNA
Source: RNAcentral
UGAGUACGAGCUGCUACGGCAGCGAAGUGGGUGACGUCAAGCUUCCAAGAAAAGCCCUACACCCGUUAAGGCAUGAUGGCCUGUACCCGAAACCGACACAGGUGGGGUGGUAGAGAAUACCGAGGGGCGCGAGGUAACUCUCUCUAAGGAACUCGGCAAAAUGGCCCCGUAACUUCGGGAGAAGGGGUGCCACCGCAAGGUGGUCGCAGUGAAGAGGCCCAGGCGACUGUUUACCAAAAACACAGGUCUCCGCUAAGUCGCAAGACGGUGUAUGGGGGCUGACGCCUGCCCAGUGCCGGAAGGUUAAGGAAGCUGGUCAGCGCAAGCGAAGCUGGCGACUGAAGCCCCGGUGAACGGCGGCCGUAACUAUAACGGUCUUAAGGUAGCGAAAUUCCUUGUCGGGUAAGUUCCGACCCGCACGAAAGGCGUAACGAUCUGGGCGCUGUCUCGGAGAGAGGCUCGGCGAAAUAGAAUUGUCUGUGAAGAUGCGGACUACGUGCACCCGGACAGAAAGACCCUAUGAAGCUUUACUGUAGCUUGGUAUUGUGCCCGGGCUCUGAAUGCGCAGGAUAGGUGGGAGGCUUUGAUCCAUUGCUUGUGGGUGAUGGUGAGCCAACGGUGAGAUACCACUCUUUCAGAGCUAGGGUUCUAACGGUCACCCGUUAUCCGGGGACCGGACAGUAUCAGGUGGGCAGUUUGUCUGGGGCGGUCGCCUCCUAAAAGGUAACGGAGGCGCGCAAAGGUUCCCUCAGGCUGGUUGGAAAUCAGCCGAUGAGUGUAAAGGCAGAAGGGAGCUUGACUGUGAGACCUACAAGUCGAACAGGGACGAAAGUCGGCCUUAGUGAUCCGACGGUUCUGAGUGGAAGGGCCGUCGCUCAACGGAUAAAAGUUACCCUAGGAUAACAGGCUGAUCUCCCCCAAGAGUUCACAUCGACGGGGAGGUUUGGCACCUCGAUGUCGGCUCAUCGCAACCUGGGGCUGAAGUCGGUCCCAAGGGUUGGGCUGUUCGCCCAUUAAAGCGGUACGCGAGCUGGGUUCAGAACGUCGUGAGACAGUUCGGUCCAUAUCCGGUGCAUGCGCAGGAAUAUUGAGAGGAUUUCUCCCUAGUACGAGAGGACCGGGAGGAACGCACCUCUGGUGUACCAGUUAUCGUGCCAACGGUAAACGCUGGGUAGCCAUGUGCGGAGUGGAUAACCGCUGAAAGCAUCUAAGUGGGAAGCCCACCUCAAGAUGAGUAUUCCCAUGGCGUUAGCCAGUAAGGUCACGGGCAGAACACCCGUUGAUAGGCUCUACGUGGAAGCCGGGUAACCGGUGAAGCGGAGGAGUACUAAUAGACCGAGGGCUUG